This 451-nucleotide ribosomal RNA is filed under the name Streptococcus sp. oral taxon C14. Its description in RNAcentral is "bacterial SSU rRNA". It matches the Rfam family "Bacterial small subunit ribosomal RNA", at positions 30 to 472 of the family's 1533-position model. The record is from RNAcentral. Lineage: Bacteria; Bacillati; Bacillota; Bacilli; Lactobacillales; Streptococcaceae.
AUUGAACGCUGGCGGCAGGCUUAACACAUGCAAGUCGAACGGUAACAUAAAGAAGCUUGCUUCUUUGAUGACGAGUGGCGGACGGGUGAGUAAUGCUUGGGAAUCUAGCUUAUGGAGGGGGAUAACUACGGGAAACUGUAGCUAAUACCGCGUAAUAUCGAAAGAUUAAAGUGUGGGACCUUCGGGCCACAUGCCAUAGGAUGAGCCCAAGUGGGAUUAGGUAGUUGGUGAGGUAAAGGCUCACCAAGCCGACGAUCUCUAGCUGGUCUGAGAGGAUGACCAGCCACACUGGGACUGAGACACGGCCCAGACUCCUACGGGAGGCAGCAGUGGGGAAUAUUGCGCAAUGGGGGCAACCCUGACGCAGCCAUGCCGCGUGAAUGAAGAAGGCCUUCGGGUUGUAAAGUUCUUUCGGUAGCGAGGAAGGCAUUUAGUUUAAUAGACUAGGUGA